AUUGAACGCUGGCGGCAUGCCUUACACAUGCAAGUCGAACGGCAGCACGGGAGCAAUCCUGGUGGCGAGUGGCGAACGGGUGAGUAAUAUAUCGGAACGUGCCCGGCCGUGGGGGAUAACGUAGCGAAAGCUACGCUAAUACCGCAUACGAUCUAUGGAUGAAAGCGGGGGAUCGCAAGACCUCGCGCGAUUGGAGCGGCCGAUAUCAGAUUAGGUAGUUGGUGAGGUAAAGGCUCACCAAGCCGACGAUCUGUAGCUGGUCUGAGAGGACGACCAGCCACACUGGGACUGAGACACGGCCCAGACUCCUACGGGAGGCAGCAGUGGGGAAUUUUGGACAAUGGGCGCAAGCCUGAUCCAGCAAUGCCGCGUGCAGGAUGAA
RNAcentral lists this ribosomal RNA (382 nucleotides) under uncultured bacterium. Its description in RNAcentral is "bacterial SSU rRNA". It matches the Rfam family "Bacterial small subunit ribosomal RNA", at positions 30 to 412 of the family's 1533-position model. The record is from RNAcentral.